AGAGUUUGAUCAUGGCUCAGGACGAACGCUGGCGGCGUGCCUAAUACAUGCAAGUCGAGCGAGCUUGCCUAGAUGAUUUUAGUGCUUGCACUAAAUGAAACUAGAUACAAGCGAGCGGCGGACGGGUGAGUAACACGUGGGUAACCUGCCCAAGAGACUGGGAUAACACCUGGAAACAGAUGCUAAUACCGGAUGACAACACUAGACGCAUGUCUAGAGUUUGAAAGAUGGUUCUGCUAUCACUCUUGGAUGGACCUGCGGUGCAUUAGCUAGUUGGUAAGGUAACGGCUUACCAAGGCAAUGAUGCAUAGCCGAGUUGAGAGACUGAUCGGCCACAUUGGGACUGAGACACGGUCCAAACUCCUACGGGAGGCAGCAGUAGGGAAUCUUCCACAAUGGACGAAAGUCUGAUGGAGCAACGCCGCGUGAGUGAAGAAGGGUUUCGGCUCGUAAAGCUCUGUUGGUAGUGAAGAAAGAUAAAGGUAGUAACUGGCCUUUAUUUGACGGUAAUUACUUAGAAAGUCACGGCUAACUACGUGCCAGCAGCCGCGGUAAUACGUAGGUGGCAAGCGUUGUCCGGAUUUAUUGGGCGUAAAGCGAGUGCAGGCGGUUCAAUAAGUCUGAUGUGAAAGCCUUCGGCUCAACCGGAGAAUUGCAUCAGAAACUGUUGAACUUGAGUGCAGAAGAGGAGAGUGGAACUCCAUGUGUAGCGGUGGAAUGCGUAGAUAUAUGGAAGAACACCAGUGGCGAAGGCGGCUCUCUGGUCUGCAACUGACGCUGAGGCUCGAAAGCAUGGGUAGCGAACAGGAUUAGAUACCCUGGUAGUC
Molecule: ribosomal RNA, 827 nt
Filed under: uncultured bacterium
Lineage: Bacteria
Description: bacterial SSU rRNA
Rfam family: Bacterial small subunit ribosomal RNA
Source: RNAcentral